Pseudophryne corroboree (corroboree frog) is the source of this 294-nucleotide long non-coding RNA. RefSeq lists it as uncharacterized. The transcript is spliced from 2 exons. The record is from RefSeq and is a predicted model, not a curated record. NCBI's taxonomy places the organism in Eukaryota, Metazoa, Chordata, Amphibia, Anura, Myobatrachidae.
GGGGUGACACUGCCGAAAGUCGUCGCCUGGGUGGGGAUGAUGGAGCCGCAGAUUCCGAGCCAAGACGCCGUGUCUUACUUGGCCUCCUGGAAUAUGUGACUACACUGAAGUCUUACCUGCAAUCCCAGCCUCAUCCUGACUUGUCUGAGGCCUGUCUGGCCGGCUGGUCUGUGGGACUGUUGAAAAAGUGUACCAAACAUUAUUACCAUGCUUUGUGUAAAAAAAACCCCUGCAAAGCCUUAUUGUACUGUAACCAUCUAUUAGGUAUUGGAUAAACAAAUAAUUUCUGAUUAA